This 1547-nucleotide long non-coding RNA is filed under the name Vigna radiata. Its description in RNAcentral is "long non-coding RNA (VRAD_LNC012637)". The record is from RNAcentral. Lineage: Eukaryota; Viridiplantae; Streptophyta; Magnoliopsida; Fabales; Fabaceae.
GAAUUAGUUUUUUCUGGUUUUAUUGCAUUUUGUCACAUUUUUUAGUAUUUAUUCACCUAUUUUUAUUUUUAUUUUCUUUAUUUUUAUUUAUUUACUUUAUUUUAUUUUAUUUUAUUUUAUUUUAUUUUAUCUUCUUAUUUAAUUUUUGUUAUAAUGCGUUGAUCAAUGACUGUCGUGAGCAGGGGAGGCCAAAGAGGUGUUUCAGGGAAUGUUGGAUUGCAAGAUGAGACCCUGCACUUUUUUAAACUUAAAAACUGAAACUAAUUUUACUAAAAACUAAAUAAACUUAUUAAUAGUUCAGUAUUUUUUAUCUUAUUUUGAGUACAGUUAACAAUUGUGGGUUCACUUUUCCUAAUUCAUUUCUCACACAAUUAGGUUUUCGUGAUUUCUUUUUUGAUCACAAUUUUCUUCGGACCUCUUUUAUUCGUCUCGUUCGUCGCUGUUGAACGCUGCCGCGUCGAAGGUUCGUCGUCGUCGAAGACUCGCUUUUGAUGAAGACUUGUUGUCGUCGAAGACUUGCUGUCGUCGAAGGAUCCUAUAGAAAGUUUGCCAGACUCUGCCGUCGCCGACUGUUGAAGGCUCUACCAGCAUUGUCGAAGGUUCUGAGAACACUUCUCGCUGGAAAGAGAAGCAAAUCUGCAACCCAAAGGUACGAAUGUUCUUCCUUUCCCUUUCAAAAGAGAUAAAUAAAAUGGAGUCUUAGAAUAAGGUCGUACCAGUUUAUUCUUUAGAAGGUAAGUUUACAAGGCCGCUAUGAACUUUUGGUGUGAACCCUAGUCGAUGUUAAUUCCAUAAUGCAUUAAUUGUUCGAUGUGAUUUUCAACAUUUUUUUACCUUGGCAUAUUUGUGUCUUGUUUAGCUUUUGACAGAUGGAAUCCAUGCUCUCCCAGUAUUUUUUUUUUGUUGAUUCUUACCAUUUGAUUAUUGAUAUUGACUUCUAAAGUCCUUUCGUGUUGAAAUGAUUUGCGAAAUAACUUCAUUUUACAAAGAAUGCAUGGUUCUUCACAAACAUCUUCUUACUUGUAUUUAGCUUGAUUGCUAGGUGUUGUUUAGGGCUAGAAUUGACUGAAGAAAAGUUUCUGAGCAUAUGAUUGUAUUGGUUUUCUAUACAAGGAAUAUAUCUUUGGAUUUCCUGAAGCAAAGACCAUAAUUCAGUGGCUUGCAGCUUCUCAGGUAAUUUUAUAUUUUUAGCCAUCAUUGUAUCAGGUAAUUUUAUAUCUUUGGGUUCUUGACCCAACAAUGUUCUGGUAUGGAUACUCUUAUUUCAGCAAUCUUGAAUGGUGGAGGAGCACUGGGGUCUUAUAUAACUAGGCAUACACCAGUUAUAUUCUCUCCAUUCUCAACAUUUUAAUUUUGAUUAAUUUGGGUUGUAUGACACAAUUGUCUAUUUUUUAUCAAAUUUGUACGGUUGUUGUUUCUUCUAUGUAUAAUUAUUUUAUCCAAUGUGGCUUUAGUAAUACCUUAUUGUCUAUUAUUCAUCAAAUUUGUCCUGUUGUUGUUUCUUCUAUGUAUGAUUGUUUUAUCCAAUGUGGCUUUAGUAAUACUCC